AUUGAACGCUGGCGGCAGGCCUAACACAUGCAAGUCGAACGAGUGGCGGACGGGUGAGCAAUGACUGGGAAACUUCCUGAUGGAGGGGGACAACUACUGGACACGGUAGCUAAUUCCGCAUACCAUCACAUAUGCCCAAGUGGGAUUUGCGAGUUGGUGGGGUAACGGCUCACCAAGGCGACGAUCCCUAGCUGGUCUGAGAGGAUGCCCAGCCACACUGGAACUGAGACACGGUCCAGACUCCUACGGGAGGCAGCAGUGGGGAAUAUUGCACAAUGGGCGCAAGCCUGAUGCAGCCAUGCCGCGUGUAUGAAGAAGGCCUUCGGGUUGUAAAGUACUUUCAGCGGGGAGGCGUUACCCGCAGAAGAAGCACCGGCUAACUCCGUGCCAGCAGCCGCGGUAAUAC
Molecule: ribosomal RNA, 406 nt
Filed under: uncultured bacterium
Lineage: Bacteria
Description: partial 16S ribosomal RNA
Rfam family: Bacterial small subunit ribosomal RNA
Source: RNAcentral